Long non-coding RNA from Triticum aestivum (bread wheat), 1801 nucleotides. RefSeq lists it as uncharacterized. NCBI's taxonomy places the organism in Eukaryota, Viridiplantae, Streptophyta, Magnoliopsida, Poales, Poaceae. The transcript is spliced from 3 exons. The record is from RefSeq and is a predicted model, not a curated record.
UGCUGAUCGAGCGGAUUUUUUUGUCCAAAAAGACCACCUGACCAGAUGAAUUGACAAAAGAAACUACAUAUGGAUCAAUUUGAUAAAAAAGACCCCCUCAAUGGUGGCGGCAGGUGCGGCAGGCGACACGUGGCACCUGCCGCCACGCCAGGAGGCGACCGGCGAUGGGAUAACGUUUUUCGCACAGUGUGUGUAACAGGAAACGGAAUGGGGCAGGGCAUGUGGGCCCGGCCGCCAUCGUAGUAGGCGGCAGCGUCAGCUAUUGCCGCACCCUAGCCGACAGCUGCUGCAGCUCGCGGGCCGAGGCGUGGGCCCAGCCGCCACCAGCGCUGGCGGCCACCCUACUGCACGCGCGUCCGCCCCAACGCAUAAGGCGCUGAUUCCUCGCAGACAGCCCUCAUUCCCACGCGCGGGAAUCUAUGAACUUUGACCGUUUGUGCCGACACUCAGCGGAUAUGACAGCCCUCAUUCCCACACUGGUUGCUUUGGCGAUGCUGCUCCCCGGGAAUCACUCCGGCUUUUACUUCUUUUGCCCAGCGGAUAUGACGGCACUGCGGGAAUCACUCACACGCUGAGGGAAUCCGAGGCUGUGGGAACCUGUUGUGCCAACACUACAGGGAUCCUCUUUCUUUUAUAUAGUAUGCUUAUGCUCAGUGCGCAAGCACACUGUCUCUGGCCUCCUUGUCUACUCUCUGCGUGUAAGAACAGUGAGAAAGCAAAACUCAGUAGGCACAUUCACUCGUGAUUUAGGGCGAUUUAGAGUUGGAUUUUGAAUAUGCUGAAGUUGAAGAAAAGAUAGACGAGGGUAAGAUCUAUCCAUUUUUGUUGGUUUCGUUCGCAUGCAUGAAGUUUGUACUCUUUUUGUUUAGUUCAUAACUAUGUGUUCUCUGUUGUGUUAGGUAUUAUUUCUUCACUUUUUGGAGUCAUUUAGAGCUUCAGGAGUAGGAUUUGUGUAGCGAAGUGAACUACGAAGUUGAAGACCAAGGUAAAAUAGUUCAUCUUAGUAGCAAACAAGGAGGAGAUGACGUGAUUGAAGAAAUUGUGUUUGCAUCUUCGCUGUCCCUUUUGAGGUGAUGACCACAUACAUGCAAGUGCUAUUUUCAUACUUUUGAUAGCAGAAAGAAAAAUCCGUGUGUAAUAUUGAUGUUCAUGUGAUAAUAGGUUGACUCCGUUCAUAUAGUACUGGUGACGAAAAUUUAUUCAAACUAUUUGAACUCUUAAUUGCAUUCGGAAGCACUAUAUUGGAGCUAAGGUUAUGGGUGAAGUGCCAGUGCUUUUGCAGGGGCCACAUGACGCCGGCCACCGUUGCCACCUAUUUUUGAACCCAAAUAUUAAGCAUGAUGAUCGGCCUUUCAGACUUCGAACCAUAAAAAAACAUGGCCAAUACACAAUGCUUUCCUUACUCACCUUGACGCUUACGGACUACAAGGUUUUGCUAGGCUCACAUCAUGCCACGACCAAGUACGUUCGGACCCAUCCCUUUUGACAUUCUUCGUUGACCGGUGGAGACCUGAAACCCACACCUUUCACUUUCGUUUUGGGGAGCUUGCACCUACACUGAAAGAUGUUUCUAUAAUCACUGCUCUAUCAAUUAGAGGUGAGCCAUUAGUCUCUCCAUGAGUGUCUCCAUCUUGGGUAUUAGAUAUAGCAACCUGUCUUGGGAUGGAAAUGCCAGAAUCACAACAUUCUGGUGGCCCUUAGGGCAUCCCACUCGUCUGGCUUCGUGAUAACUUUCGUAUUUUAUCUAGCUUCGCUAAUGAGGAGACGAGAAAACGACAUCUGUUUGUGUAUUUGUUGUGGC